UGGCGAACGGGUGAGUAACACGUGGGUGAUCUGCCCUGCACUUCGGGAUAAGCCUGGGAAACUGGGUCUAAUACCGGAUAGGACGAUGGUUUGGAUGCCAUUGUGGAAAGUUUUUCGGUGUUGGAUGAGCUCGCGGCCUAUCAGCUUGUUGGUGGGGUAAUGGCCUACCAAGGCGUCGACGGGUAGCCGGCCUGAGAGGGUGUACGGCCACAUUGGGACUGAGAUACGGCCCAG
RNAcentral lists this ribosomal RNA (234 nucleotides) under uncultured Actinomycetales bacterium. RNAcentral describes it as "partial 16S ribosomal RNA". It matches the Rfam family "Bacterial small subunit ribosomal RNA", at positions 96 to 334 of the family's 1533-position model. Lineage: Bacteria; Bacillati; Actinomycetota; Actinomycetes; Actinomycetales. The record is from RNAcentral.